UUACUUACCUGGACGGGGUCGACGGGCGAUCAACAAGGCCCGUGGCCUGGGUCAAUGGCCCACAUUGCACUUGGUGGGUGCGUUGGCCCAUCAUCUCCCCAAGUGGGAGAGUAAACGUCGUAAUUUGUGCUAGAGGGGGUACGCGUUCGCGCGGCCCCUGC
Molecule: small nuclear RNA, 161 nt
Filed under: Hordeum vulgare
Lineage: Eukaryota; Viridiplantae; Streptophyta; Magnoliopsida; Poales; Poaceae
Description: U1 spliceosomal RNA
Rfam family: U1 spliceosomal RNA
About the family: U1 is a small nuclear RNA (snRNA) component of the spliceosome (involved in pre-mRNA splicing).
Source: RNAcentral